This is a long non-coding RNA of Xenia sp. Carnegie-2017, 188 nucleotides long. RefSeq lists it as uncharacterized. NCBI's taxonomy places the organism in Eukaryota, Metazoa, Cnidaria, Anthozoa, Malacalcyonacea, Xeniidae. The transcript is spliced from 2 exons. The record is from RefSeq and is a predicted model, not a curated record.
GCGUUAAUACUGUAAAAUUUAAGGUCAAUUUAAGGCCAUGCGGAGAUAAGGUGGGGGAAGAGUUAAUACUGUAAAAAUUAAAGGUGAAUAUAAGGCCAUGCGGAGAUAAGGUGGGGGGAAGCGUUAAUACUGUAAAAUUUAAGGUCAAUUUAAGGCCAUGCGGAGAUAAGGUGGGGGAAGAGUUAAUA